GCGGAUGUGGCGGAAUUGGCAGACGCGCCGGAUUUAGGUUCCGGUUCGCGAGAGUGCAGGUUCAAAUCCUGUCAUCCGCACCA
RNAcentral lists this transfer RNA (83 nucleotides) under Mageeibacillus indolicus UPII9-5. RNAcentral describes it as "tRNA-Leu (TAG) (tRNA-Leu-TAG-1-1)". It matches the Rfam family "tRNA". From Rfam's summary of the family: Transfer RNA (tRNA) molecules are approximately 80 nucleotides in length. Their secondary structure includes four short double-helical elements and three loops (D, anti-codon, and T loops). The record is from RNAcentral. Lineage: Bacteria; Bacillati; Bacillota; Clostridia; Eubacteriales; Oscillospiraceae. RNAcentral also lists the same sequence under 2 other names.